ACUGCCUGCCCAGUGACAUUAGUUAAACGGCCGCGGUAUCCUGACCGUGCAAAGGUAGCAUAAUCAUUUGUUCCUUAAUUAGGGACUUGUAUGAAUGGCCCCACGAGGGUUUAACUGUCUCUUACUUUCGAUCAGUGAAAUUGACCUUCCCGUGAAGAGGCGGGAAUACAAGAAUAAGACGAGAAGACCCUAUGGAGCUUAAAUUAAUAUGUUCAACAGAAUUUAAUGAUAGCCCAAUAGGAAUAAAAAUAUUCUAACUGAACAACAAAUUUUGGUUGGGGUGACCUCGGAGUAUAACAUAACCUCCGAGCAAUUAAACCAAGACUUACCAGUCAAGGCUAUAUAACUUAUUGAUCCAAUCUUAUUGAUCAACGAAACAAGUUACCCUAGGGAUAACAGCGCAAUCCUAUUUAAGAGUUCAUAUCGACAAUAGGGUUUACGACCUCGAUGUUGGAUCAGGACACCCAAAUGGUGCAGCAGCUAUUAAAGGUUCGUUU
RNAcentral lists this ribosomal RNA (497 nucleotides) under Crocidura olivieri (Olivier's shrew). RNAcentral's name for it is "partial 16S ribosomal RNA". It matches the Rfam family "Bacterial large subunit ribosomal RNA", at positions 1854 to 2578 of the family's 2925-position model. Lineage: Eukaryota; Metazoa; Chordata; Mammalia; Eulipotyphla; Soricidae. The record is from RNAcentral.